This 165-nucleotide small nuclear RNA is filed under the name Bario sanctaefilomenae (redeye tetra). RNAcentral describes it as "Moenkhausia sanctaefilomenae (redeye tetra) U1-II". It matches the Rfam family "U1 spliceosomal RNA". Rfam says of the family: U1 is a small nuclear RNA (snRNA) component of the spliceosome (involved in pre-mRNA splicing). Its 5' end forms complementary base pairs with the 5' splice junction, thus defining the 5' donor site of an intron. Lineage: Eukaryota; Metazoa; Chordata; Actinopteri; Characiformes; Acestrorhamphidae. The record is from RNAcentral.
AUACUUACGUGGCAGGGGGUGAUACCAUCAUCAGAAAGGUGGUUCGCCCAGAGCGAAGCUCAGCCAUUGCACUCGGGCUGUGCUGACCUUUGCGAAAUCCCCAAAUGCGGGAAUCUCGACUGCAUAAUUUCUGGUAGCGGGGUACUGCGUCUGCGCUCUCCCCUG